Molecule: ribosomal RNA, 608 nt
Filed under: uncultured Oxalobacteraceae bacterium
Lineage: Bacteria; Pseudomonadati; Pseudomonadota; Betaproteobacteria; Burkholderiales; Oxalobacteraceae
Description: bacterial SSU rRNA
Rfam family: Bacterial small subunit ribosomal RNA
Source: RNAcentral
CAACCUGGCGGCGAGUGGCUAACGGGUGAGUAAUACAUCGGAACGUACCCAGAAGUGGGGGAUAACGUAUCGAAAGUUACGCUAAUACCGCAUACGAUCUACGGAUGAAAGUGGGGGACCUUCGGGCCUCAUGCUUUUGGAGCGGCCGAUGUCUGAUUAGCUAGUUGGUAGGGUAAAGGCCUACCAAGGCGACGAUCACUAGCUGGUCUGAGAGGACCACCAGCCACACUGGGACUGAGACACGGCCCAAACUCCUACGGGAGGCAGCAAUGGGGAAUUUUGGACAAUGGGCGCAAGCCUGAUCCAGCAAUGCCGCGUGAGUGAAGAAGGCCUUCCGGUUGUAAAGCUCUUUUGUCAGGGAAGAAACGGCUGACGAUAAUACCUUCGGCUAAUGACGGUACCUGAAGAAUAAGCACCGGCUAACUACGUGCCAGCAGCCGCGGUAAUACGUAGGGUGCAAGCGUUAAUCGGAAUUACUGGGCGUAAAGCGUGCGCAGGCGGUUUUGUAAGUCUGACGUGAAAGCCCCGGGCUCAACCUGGGAAUUGCGUUGGAGACUGCAAGGCUUGAAUCUGGCAGAGGGGGGUAGAAUUCCACGUGUAGCAGUGAA